UAACGCGUGGGAAUCUGCCUAUCAGUGGGGAAUAACGGCGGGAAACUGUCGCUAAUACCGCAUACGCCCUUAGGGGGAAAGAUUUAUCGCUGAUAGAUGAGCCCGCGUACGAUUAGCUAGUUGGUGAGGUAAUGGCUCACCAAGGCUACGAUCGUUAGCUGGUCUGAGAGGAUGAUCAGCCACACUGGGACUGAGACACGGCCCAGACUCCUACGGGAGGCAGCAGUGGGGAAUAUUGGACAAUGGGCGAAAGCCUGAUCCAGCAAUGCCGCUUGAGUGAUGAAGGCCUUAGGGUUGU
This 298-nucleotide ribosomal RNA is filed under the name uncultured Sphingomonadaceae bacterium. RNAcentral's name for it is "partial 16S ribosomal RNA". It matches the Rfam family "Bacterial small subunit ribosomal RNA", at positions 111 to 426 of the family's 1533-position model. Lineage: Bacteria; Pseudomonadati; Pseudomonadota; Alphaproteobacteria; Sphingomonadales; Sphingomonadaceae. The record is from RNAcentral.